AACGAACGCUGGCGGCAUGCCUAACACAUGCAAGUCGAACGAGACCUUCAGGUCUAGUGGCGCACGGGUGCGUAACGCGUGGGAAUCUGCCCUUGGGUUCGGAAUAACUCGCCGAAAGGCGUGCUAAUACCGGAUGAUGACGUAAGUCCAAAGAUUUAUCGCCCAAGGAUGAGCCCGCGUAGGAUUAGCUUGUUGGUGAGGUAAAAGCUCACCAAGGCGACGAUCCUUAGCUGGUCUGAGAGGAUGAUCAGCCACACUGGGACUGAGACACGGCCCAGACUCCUACGGGAGGCAGCAGUGGGGAAUAUUGGACAAUGGGCGAAAGCCUGAUCCAGCAAUGCCGCGUGAGUGAUGAAGGCCUUAGGGUUGUAAAGCUCUUUUACCCGGGAUGAUAAUGAC
This 399-nucleotide ribosomal RNA is filed under the name uncultured bacterium. RNAcentral describes it as "bacterial SSU rRNA". It matches the Rfam family "Bacterial small subunit ribosomal RNA", at positions 29 to 455 of the family's 1533-position model. The record is from RNAcentral.